Molecule: transfer RNA, 134 nt
Filed under: Mycoplasma leachii 99/014/6
Lineage: Bacteria; Bacillati; Mycoplasmatota; Mollicutes; Mycoplasmatales; Mycoplasmataceae
Description: tRNA-Cys
Source: RNAcentral
GAUGUUUUUGUUUAAAUAAAUCUAAAUAUUUAUUAGCAAUAUUUAAAUCAAAAUGAACCGCUACCCUAAAAAAAUACAAUAAAAUAAUCCACUAAAUAUUGAUUGGUGUACAAGUUAAAUACUUGUAGAUAUUU